RNAcentral lists this ribosomal RNA (253 nucleotides) under uncultured bacterium. RNAcentral describes it as "partial 16S ribosomal RNA". It matches the Rfam family "Bacterial small subunit ribosomal RNA", at positions 524 to 776 of the family's 1533-position model. The record is from RNAcentral.
UACAGAGGGUGCGAGCGUUAAUCGGAAUUACUGGGCGUAAAGCGUGCGUAGACGGUAGCGUAAGUCGGGUGUGAAAUCCCCGGGCUUAACCUGGGAACUGCGUCGGAUACUGGUUGGCUUGAAUUCGGGAGAGGGAUGCAGAAUUCCAGGUGUAGCGGUGAAAUGCGUAGAUAUCUGGAGGAAUACCGGUGGCGAAGGCGGCAUCCUGGACCGACAUUGACGCUGAACGGCGAAAGCUAGGGGAGCAAACGGG